CGUCUCACUAACCCCUUAUGGACUUUUCGUAAUUUCUUGAAUUGUUGGGGUAGGAGCUUGAUCAUGACUUUAUCACCCUCCUUGUAUUCAACAUGCCGUCUCCUUGUAUCCGCCCACUUCUUCAUUUUCCUCGCGGCUUUGUCGAGGUAGGCUCGCGUGAUGUCCGCUUCCUCAUGCCAUUCGCGGGCGAGCUUAUGUGCUGCGGGGCUUUGCUUUGUCGAGGUAGGCUCGCGUGAUAUCCGCUUCCUCAUGCCAUUCGCGGGCGAGCUUAUGUGCCGUGGGGAUUUUUCCUUCAUAAGUUGAGGCUAUGGCAUUGAGGGUCAUAGGCUGGAAUCCCAUGAUGAUCUCGAAUGGG
This 355-nucleotide long non-coding RNA is filed under the name Nicotiana benthamiana. RNAcentral's name for it is "long non-coding RNA (NBEN_LNC032886)". The record is from RNAcentral. Lineage: Eukaryota; Viridiplantae; Streptophyta; Magnoliopsida; Solanales; Solanaceae.